UUAACAGCUAAAUUUCACAAACAGGAAAAUGUUGUGUGAGUUUUGAAAGCCAGAACUUGUUCUUCUGAGUGUAGAGUUGUAAAUCUAAUGUAAUAAUGUAAGAGAAACAGGGAUGGCAGAAAUCAAAACCAGCAUGUUUUGAGUUUAAAGUUAUCCCUCUCCACGAUGUCUUCUUUAUCAUACAAUGUAACAUUUGUUGAAACAUAGAUUUUCUAUCCGUUUGGCCCCAGACCCGUACCCAAAUUAAACCAAAUAAUCCCAAAGCCCAAAUAACCCCUAAAAACCAAACAGACGCUAACCCCAAUUUGAUCUAACUAGCCCAAAUUUAGAGUUUCAAAAUCUGAAAUCCUAAAUCACUUAAUCUCACCGCCCCCAAUCACAUCUCCAGUGCAAGUGGUACAUGCCUCCAUCGUCAUUCGCCUGCAGCAUUAAAAGAGAAAGGACAGUGUGCAGAAGAAAGGAGAAAACACUUGUAAAAAAGGGGCUAUAAAAACCACAGAGGGAUCGAGUGUAAGGGGUUCUUUUUUUUUUGGUUCUUGAUUUUCAUUUUCUCGUAAUACAAAAAGAAGAUUAACAUCAAAAACAGACUCAAACACUAACUCUAAACCGCAGCAAAACAGAUCGAAGACUGAAUCGAAGUUUUAUCCACUUUUCUUUUCAUUUUUAAUUUUCUUUUCGAAUUUGUUUGUACGUAUAAUAUCCCUUCUAUUAAAACAAUACACAUAUAUAUUGAGUAUAAUAAAAAAAUAAAAAAAGGGGAAAAAAUUACCUAAGGGCGAUUUUCGGCCACCGUGUAUGGUGGCCGGCGCGGAGGACGGUGACCGGUCCGGCAACAGAGACCUGAGGCUGAGAGAGAGCUGAGGGGCCUGCUUUCU
Molecule: long non-coding RNA, 875 nt
Filed under: Gossypium barbadense (sea-island cotton)
Lineage: Eukaryota; Viridiplantae; Streptophyta; Magnoliopsida; Malvales; Malvaceae
Description: long non-coding RNA (GBAR_LNC009162)
Source: RNAcentral